UACGUAGGGGGCUAGCGUUGCUCGGAAUCACUGGGCGUAAAGCGCGCGUAGGCGGACUCUUAAGUCGGUGGUGAAAUCCUGGAGCUCAACUCCAGAACUGCCUUCGAUACUGAGAGUCUCGAGUCCGGGAGAGGUGAGUGGAACUGCGAGUGUAGCGGUGAAAUUCGUAGAUAUUCGCAGGAACACCAGUGGCGAAGGCGGCUCCCUGGCCCGGUACUGACGCUGAGGUGCGAAAGCGUGGGGAGCAAACAGG
Molecule: ribosomal RNA, 253 nt
Filed under: uncultured bacterium
Lineage: Bacteria
Description: partial 16S ribosomal RNA
Rfam family: Bacterial small subunit ribosomal RNA
Source: RNAcentral